AUGGUGGCGCAGGAAGUGUGGGCGUCGACAUGGCUGGAACCCCAUGGUCAUGAGACUAGCAAUGUAGUCGUCGUCGUCCUUUUUGGGCUCUGCUGUGUUUGGUCUAUUUGGGAUUCUGUGUACAACUUUUUUCUCCGUAUGAGAGUUAACUGUAGUUUGUCAGGUUACUGGUUGACGAUGCUCUUGUUCAUGUUACCAAGGAUGAUGGAGGGAGUAGUUGUUUAUGCUUUCAUGUUGGGUUUGGGUGGCUACUGCCCAGCCCGUAUGGUGUGUAUAUGUGCGUGUGUGUAUUGGGUUUGGGUGGCUAAUGCCCAGCCCGUAUGGUGUGUGUAUGUGCGUGUAUGUAAAUACCGGAAUGAUUUCAGCAACCGAAUUUGGAGUCUGUAA
Molecule: ribosomal RNA, 387 nt
Filed under: Triticum aestivum (bread wheat)
Lineage: Eukaryota; Viridiplantae; Streptophyta; Magnoliopsida; Poales; Poaceae
Description: partial small subunit ribosomal RNA
Source: RNAcentral